UUUUGAGAGGAUAAAUAAGGUUAUUGAGUUGAAAAAAUACAGAAUUCUGACUGGUAACAAAGUUCAUAAAAAUACAGAAUUCUGAUUGGUUAUAAGUUUAACAAAAUAAAGAGCUCUGGUUUAUUAAGUUCAACAAAAUAUAGAAUUCUGAUUGGUUAAGUUCAACAAGAUACAGAACUCUGAUAGGAUAAUUUCCAAAAAAUACAGAAUUCUGAUUGGUUAAUUUCAACAAAAUACAGAAUUCUGAUUGAUUAAGUUUAACAAAAUACAGAAUUCUGAUUGGUUUUAUUUCAUGCAGAAGUUGUCAAGACCAUGAAAUAAUGUAUCUAUAAAAAUUAUGUUUUAUCAAUCAAUGAAACCCAUUCAAAAAUAAUGAAUCCACAGUAUAUAUAUAAGAUGUACCUGUAUUGUUGAAAGAGAAAUCACUUGUACAGAAUCAUAUCAAAACACAAAGUGCUAUAUACAUUUUUGUUCAAAAUAUAUAAUGGGUUAAAUUCAUAAAUUAUGGAAUAAGCUCCUGUCUUAUUCAAGUUUACAACUGCAUGUACAUCUACUUUUUAAUAAGUGAUAAUUUUUAAACACCUUCCCUUUUCAAAGCGAAAUAUUUGAAAAAGUGUGUUGAUCUUUUAAGAAUUAUCUCCCAUGUGACAGAUUUUCAAGGUUUUACAAUUACAAUUAAUUUUAAUAAAAAAAAACCAAAUGCAUAAGUAUGCAUGCUAAGAUCUUAGUGGUCAUGGUGGUUCAAAAUAAAAUUCAUUUAUUACAAAAAGUCUCAGCCAUUGCAGUCUUUUUUUAAUUCCCAUAUAUAGCAGAUUCUUAUGACAUUGGUGCAGUAAAAAAACAUGUAUAUUAUCAAAAAUGUAAUACUAUAAAAAAAAUUUAAACUUUAUGUUGUCAGCUUACUAAUCAGUAUACAUUUAUAUGUGUCUUGUAAUUAGCUUUUGAUAUAUGACAAAUGUCAUCUGACAGCUAAAAAUCUAUAAAUAGCACAAGGAAAUCUGUAUAAAAUAGCACUGCAAAAUGUAUUUGAUAUGUUUUUCAUGCAACAAAUGUAUUACAGCCAAAUUGUAGAAGCUUAUAAAUAUAUACAUCACAUUCAAUAAUUAUUAUUUCUAUGUAGGAUUUGGGAACAUAAUUUCUUUUUAUGUUUUUAUUAUAAUAAUAUGAUAAGUGUGUAUAAACACUAUCUGCUAUAGGGUUUUUAAUAGAUUUUUUUACACAGUUGGGGACAGGUUGAGGUUGUGAAAAUCUAGACUUUAAUUUAUUCAAUAUUCGUCUGAAGUCUAACAGUCUUUUUUUUUAGUCUUUUUCAUCCAAGGGACAUCCAUAACUUACUCAGAGUCAACAAAUUUGUGUUAUCCCAAAAAAAUCCAAAUUGAUGAACCACAAAAUAAGCAAAGUAACUUGUCAAAUAUGUUACAGUAAAAAUUAUAUUACAUUAUAGAAAGUACUAGUUAACCAUUUUUAACAUCAAGGAUUUGUGCAUUUAUUCUUCAAAUAAUGUAAGAUAAAUAGCAUAUCGUAAAAGCGUUUACUAUUGCUUGCUCAUCAUUAUCAACAAUAAUAUAUCAAAU
RNAcentral lists this long non-coding RNA (1574 nucleotides) under Mytilus galloprovincialis (Mediterranean mussel). Lineage: Eukaryota; Metazoa; Mollusca; Bivalvia; Mytilida; Mytilidae. The record is from RNAcentral.